CUUGCGGCCAUAUCACGUUGAAACAUUGUUUCCCGUGCGAUCACCGAAAUUAAGCAACGCAGAGCCUGGUCACCAUCUACAUGGGUGACCACUUAGAAAUACCUGGUGCUGUCUG
Molecule: non-coding RNA, 115 nt
Organism: Acanthosepion pharaonis
Lineage: Eukaryota; Metazoa; Mollusca; Cephalopoda; Sepiida; Sepiidae
Source: the annotation of a GenBank genome assembly